UGUGCUUCAACUAAAGAAAUGACAUUGGAGCAAGCAACAGAUUGAGGCACCCAUGUAUCAAGAAUAUAAAGACCAUUAGAUACAUGUCCUUUACCAAUAAUCUGCUUCGUCAUAAGAUCUUGGAAAAGACAAUGAUCAAGAAAAAAUGAUAUACAACAGUUAAGAUCCUUGAUAAGUCUACCAAUAGAAAUCAAAUUAAAAGCAAGUUUGGGUAGACUUAAAACAGAUGACAGGGUAAUAGAGGGGAUUGGUUUAACAAUUCCAGAUCCCACAAUAUUAUAGGUUGAUCCAUCGGCUAUGGUGAUUGGAGAGGGAGCUUUGUGUGAUCGAAAGCUAGAGAAAGUGUUAGGAUUACCUGUCAUGUGGUCUGUGGCACCUGAAUCAAUCACCCAAUUGUUUGAAGAGGAGAUAAGACAUAUUUUACCUAACUCAGCAAGGGAAAUAACUGAAGUAGAUUCCUUCAGUAAUUCUUGAUAUUAUGAAAAUUUAGCACUCAUCAGUUGAUAUCAUAACACAGGCAGAGACGGAUGUCCCAACUAUCCCGCCAAGGCAUGAAGUGGGAUCUCUGGCUCUGGCUUCAUCUCCUGUCUCGAGGUCUCCCCUAGCUCGUCAUGUUGUUGGUCUGUGAUGUCUUUGUAGACCUCUUGGUCGGCAUUGGUGUGCCCCUCCAGUAGCAAUAAUUGUGGUCGUUGACAGCGGUGACCAGCCGUGAAGCUUUCAUUGCAAUUAAAGCAUAGCUCUUGUACUGGAGUCUAUGCAUUUCGUCCCAGGUAAGUCUUUUAAUUAGUGCAGCAAGUAUAUUAGGUGUCACAUGAGCUGGUGGAGCUGGGAGAGCCUUCACAAAUGGUGGAGGUCGCAUGAACUUUCGCUACUUUGUGAGUUGUUCGUCUUGCAUUUGGGCUAAACUAAUGGCGUCUUUCAGCGUCCUUGGUUUAAACAUCCAAAUUCCUUCAACUAUAUCAGGUUUGAGUCCUCCCAUGAAGGUACCCACCAAAGCCUUUUGUGUCCACCCAUGCACGCGGUUCUCUAGUCUUUCGAAUUCCUGUUGGUAAUCACGUAGAGAACCCAUUUGCCGAAUGUGUGAGGGGGCUUCAUCAAAGUCUUCUCCUUCAGUGGGACCAAAUCGUGCCCACAAUUCCUCUUUGAAUGCAGCCCACGACGCUUUCCUGCCUUCUUCCUUGUAUGUCCGCUAAAGCCACCUCCACCGAUUAGCUUCACCUUCCAUGUGAAAGGAAGCCAGAUACCAGAUUUUCCUUUGUUCCUUGGAAUUCAAAAAACUGGUCCACCCUUAAGAGCCAUUCUGGUGGGUC
This 1310-nucleotide long non-coding RNA is filed under the name Olea europaea subsp. europaea. Lineage: Eukaryota; Viridiplantae; Streptophyta; Magnoliopsida; Lamiales; Oleaceae. The record is from RNAcentral.